AUGGCAGCGGUGGCCAGGUCCCCGUCCCCGUCCCCGUCGCCGUCGCCGGCCGCGGUCAGGCCCUGCCCCUCCAUGCGGAGGAGCGCCGACUCCAACCCCUUCAAGCCCGCAGAUUGCCCCUCGCAGAGGAGCGCCAGCUCCAAGGGCGUUGGCGGCGGGUGCGGGUGCCACCACGCCUCCUCGCCCUCGCCGCGCCGGAGGUCCCUCUCCUCCUCCUUCGGGGAGAAGGAGAACGAGCCGCGGGACCGCACCCCCAAGCCCGCGGCGCGCACAGGCGGCCCGAAGAACUUCAUGGCGCCCACCAUCUCCGCCGCGUCCAAGGCCGCCUCGCCCAGGAACACCAGCAAGGUGCUCGGGGAGCGGAACCACGACACGCCUCACCUCGCGCCCUUCUCCCCCGCCAACCUCGCGCACAAGCCCAAGGCGGGAGGAACCCCCGACCCGCGCCGCCUGCGCCUCUCCUUCGACGCCCCUCUCGCUCCCGCUGGAGAUGACGACGCGGGGACGGAGAUUCCCGUGCGCGCGGCGGCCGAGACGGUGGGCGCGGAGCGCAGCCUGCGGCACUCGUUCGAGCCCCCUCCCGCGGCCGCCGCAUGGCACGGCCCGCUCGCUGGAGAUGACGACGACGCGGGGUUGGAGGAUCCCGUGGGCGUGAACCACCCGCACGCGGCGGCCGAUCCGGUGGACGCGGAGCCGUCCCGGGCGGCCCUGUACGACCCCAAGACCAACUACACUUCGCCGAGGCCGCGCUUCCUCCACUACAAGCCCAACCCCCGCGUCGACAUCUACCGCCACGGCCGCGCUGGCGUCGGGCGCCUCGAGGACGGCUUCGCCUCCGCCUCCGCCUCCGAGAGCAGCGACGAAACCGACGCCACUGCCACCACGGAGGACGACCUCACGGAGGAGGAGCAAGAGCAAGCACAGCAGAAUCACCUGCCACGGGAGCAGCCAGCUCUCGCCGCUCCAUCCGAGGCCGCCGAGGCUUGCGUCCUGGCGCCAGAUCCCACGCCGGGUUCACCGCGGGCUGCUCUGCUGCUGCCAUCAGAGGCUGCUGCGGUGACGCCCGAGCCGGCUCGCGUCUCUGCACCGGAGCCUAGGGCGACUCCUCCGCGAGCUCGUGCACUGACGCCGGAGCCGGAGCAUGGGGUGCGAGCUCCAGCGAAGAAGGGGUCCUCGUUGAGGUUCCUGCUUCCCCUUGCUUUCGUUCUGCUCAUGUCCGCUGCUUCCGUGUGCGUGCUGCUGCAACCGGAUUCGCCGAUCAUGUCAAACACCGCCUUGUCGAAGGCGUCAGGCUUUCUUUCAGUUCAAGAAUCACACCCUGUGGAGUUGGCUGCUUGGCUCAAGCAAUGGUCAAGCAGUUCGUUGGAUUCGAUCACGUCUUACUGGGAGGCCUUGGCCUCUACAUCCACGCAAAAGCAAGAGUACUUUGGUCCGCACUUUGCAGCCAACUGGAGUGCGGCGGCUGCCGAUGGUGACAACCAUGCUGCUGCUGCUGAUUUCUACUACAACUUUGCUGAGGCAUGGCCAGUGCCGAGUGAAGAGCCUAUUAGCAGUGCCAAUGCCUUGACUGCAGAGCCGGAAGAAGAAUCAGUUGCUGAUGCUGGAGUGGGAGAAAAAUAUGAUGCAUCAGACUACUACGACAUGGUGGUAGUUGAGCUUGAUGUUGGAAUGCCAGAAGAAGCUCCUGGUAGCAGCUAUGGUGCCAGUGUCCUGGAGGAGCAGUUGAAGAUCCAGGAUGCAGUUUCUGAAGCAAGCAGUGCUGACUUGAUUGCAGAAUCAGAGGGUGUUGCUGCAGUGGUAGAAGAAUCUGAUGCAGACUACUCCAAGGCAGUAGAUGAGCUUGAUGUUGGGGCAUCAGAAGCAGCUCCAGGUAGCAUCAGUGGCGAAGAGAUCAGUCAGGAUUUGGGCACCCCAUCUCAACCUGCUGAGCAGCAUGAACAGGAUGUUGAGAGUGAAGAGCCCGAGGACAACCACGGCAGUGGCAAGGAGGGCCAGGAGCCGCAUCUUGGCCUUGAGUCGGACUCGAGCAUGUCGCCAAGCUACUUGGACAGAAUCUCAAAGCCUGCUGCAGCAGUAGGUGUUGCUCUCGUUGUGGUCAUUCUUUCAGCAGGCGUUGCCGCCCUUUCCAUGUGGAAGAAGCAAGCUCAGGUUGCCACAGGUGCCAAUGUACCAGCUGAGCAGGGUCAAGCCGAGGAGGCUGAGACUCGAUCUGGUUCAGCAAGCAGUGAGGGCCAUCGUGUUGUCAAAGGUUCUGUGGCAGAAGAAACUGAGCGAUUUGGUGACUCUGGUUUCUCUCAGUACAGCAGCAGCUUGUCGUCUGGCCAUGGCCAUGGCAGGGGGAAGACCAAGGAGGAAGAGAACGUCGGCCUCGAGCCCGCGUCCAAGAGGGAGUCCAUGUCAUACUCCACAUCAUCCUAUGGCAGCUUCACGACCUAUGAGAAGAUCGCUGCCAAGAACAGGAACAAGGAUGAUGAGGCGAUGACCCCGGUCCGGCGCUCCAGCAGGCUGCGGAGUGUCAAAUCACCCGAGGCCGAGUCUAGUUAG
Molecule: ribosomal RNA, 2544 nt
Filed under: Triticum aestivum (bread wheat)
Lineage: Eukaryota; Viridiplantae; Streptophyta; Magnoliopsida; Poales; Poaceae
Description: partial small subunit ribosomal RNA
Source: RNAcentral